Molecule: ribosomal RNA, 406 nt
Filed under: uncultured bacterium
Lineage: Bacteria
Description: partial 16S ribosomal RNA
Rfam family: Bacterial small subunit ribosomal RNA
Source: RNAcentral
AUUGAACGCUGGCGGCAGGCUUAACACAUGCAAGUCGAACGAGCGGCGGACGGGUGAGUAAUGUAUGGGAAUCUAGCUGAUGGAGGGGGAUAACUACUGGAAACUGUAGCUAAUACCGCCUACUAUCAGAUGUGCCCAUAUGGGAUUAGCUAGUAGGUGGGGUAAUGGCUCACCUAGGCGACGAUCCCUAGCUGGUCUGAGAGGAUGACCAGCCACACUGGAACUGAGACACGGUCCAGACUCCUACGGGAGGCAGCAGUGGGGAAUAUUGCACAAUGGGCGCAAGCCUGAUGCAGCCAUGCCGCGUGUAUGAAGAAGGCCUUCGGGUUGUAAAGCACUUUCAGCGGGGAGGCGUUACCCGCAGAAGAAGCACCGGCUAACUCCGUGCCAGCAGCCGCGGUAAUAC